Molecule: ribosomal RNA, 463 nt
Filed under: uncultured bacterium
Lineage: Bacteria
Description: partial 16S ribosomal RNA
Rfam family: Bacterial small subunit ribosomal RNA
Source: RNAcentral
ACGAACGCUGGCGGCGUGCUUAACACAUGCAAGUCGAACGGUAAGGCCCCUUCGGGGGUACACGAGUGGCGAACGGGUGAGUAACACGUGAGCAACCUGCCCUUGACUCUGGAAUAACAGUUGGAAACAGCUGCUAAUACUGGAUAUUCAUCGUCUCCUUCCUGGGGGGUGGUGGAAAGCUCCGGCGGUCAGGGAUGGGCUCGCGGCCUAUCAGCUUGUUGGUGAGGUAAUGGCUCACCAAGGCUUCGACGGGUAGCCGGCCUGAGAGGGCGACCGGCCACACUGGGACUGAGAUACGGCCCAGACUCCUACGGGAGGCAACAGUGGGGAAUAUUGCACAAUGGGCGCAAGCCUGAUGCAGCAACGCCGCGUGCGGGAUGACGGCCUUCGGGUUGUAAACCGCUUUCAGUAGGGACGAAGGGUGACUGACGGUACCUACAGAAGAAGGACCGGCUAACUACGU